Long non-coding RNA from Xenopus laevis (African clawed frog), 636 nucleotides. RefSeq lists it as uncharacterized. The record is from RefSeq and is a predicted model, not a curated record. The transcript is spliced from 3 exons. Lineage: Eukaryota; Metazoa; Chordata; Amphibia; Anura; Pipidae.
UUGAUUUUCAGAAAAACAUUGAAAAUUUCCAGUGAAGACUGGGGAAGAAGAAAGGAGAAGGAAAGGAGCGGUGAAGCCAGAAAGGUCAGCGAUUUUAUUGUGCAGUUGAGAAAGUUCCUGCUCAAGUGCUGCAGUGGAGUCUAUCAGUUCGUUGUGGGAGCUCACUAACUCCGCCAUUUUCCCCUCCAGAUGGUCAGUCCGGUCCCUUAUCUGCCUCACUUCCUUAUGGAGCUCUGCAAUGGCGCCCUUGAAGUCUGCCUGAAGAUCUGACCUUAACGAGGUUACAGGGUGGAAUCCCUACAGAGAGUAUGAACAAGAAUGCACUAUGUCACUUCCCCUGCUGGACUAUAAAGGACGUUAUGGACUUUGUAUGCACUUUUACACCAUUGUUUCACAUGGCUUGAGAAAGAGCCUUUUCGGCUCGAAACGUCGCUUUUACGUAUGUGCACAUAUAUGGUGAUGUAACUGUUUUACCAUUUAAUACAAAAUAUUGAGCAUUUAUGGCGAGUGCUGUUUCUUAAUCGAACUAUAUAUAUUAUGGAGGACUGACCGGAGACCUCAUGGGACGUGCACCGCAAAGAUACUGCAAAGCGUGAGUGCUGUUACUAGCAUUUGUAUUAUAUAUAUAUAUAUAUA